This 726-nucleotide long non-coding RNA is filed under the name Fukomys damarensis (Damara mole-rat). RNAcentral describes it as "lncRNA (ENSFDAG00000033325.1)". The record is from RNAcentral. Lineage: Eukaryota; Metazoa; Chordata; Mammalia; Rodentia; Bathyergidae.
GUGGAAGAGUCAAGAUUCAUCUGACUUCACAGUCCAAGCCCUUACCCACGAUAUGAUAAGCAAUAUAUUCAGGAAAAGACGCUGUGCAGUAAUGAUCGCUACCGUUUCCUCACGAAGCUCUCGCUAUGCGCUGAGCACCUUGCUGGGAGUUCGGCGGGCAUUAUCUCACAGCCACGCAGCCUGAGCCAGGCUCACUUCCUUAUUGUAGGCCCACCGCACCAGAUACUCCGUCAUUUAGCUUAUCACAGAUUCCUUUAUGUAACUGAAAUUAUGUCUUGAACAGAACUUCAAGCUUUAUUAUAGGCAGGACCUUGUCUAUUUAUGCUCCUCCCUCAUAACAUGAGCUACCAGCACAUCACUUGAUACGGUGGUUAUUCCAUGAAGAUUUGAGAAAUCAACUGAAGACGCAUGGAGAAACACCCCGGGGUGGAACUGCUGGACAGCAGCGUAAGUUGAACCUGGACUCAGACUCCAGGUCCAGCACCUGUGCUUCUAACCUGCAGCACAUGGUCUCCUUCUGGGCUGGACAGUCUUUAGCAUCAAACACAUCAAGGGCAAUUUAAUAUCACUAUAGUCACAUAUAGACAGAAAGCGAAAGGGUUUUCUCUAUGACAUUCAAGUAAAGACUCACUAUAGAAUAAACGCUAGUGGACACAAAAGAAUACUAGAAACAUUUCAAAAAUACUAGAAAUCAUGUUCAGUCUUUCCACAGGGUCCUUUCCAUUC